GGGAAAUUGGCGCAGCGGUAGCGCAGCUGCUUUACACGCAGUUGGUCACUGGUUCGAUCCCAGUAUUUCCCA
Molecule: transfer RNA, 72 nt
Filed under: Synechococcus phage SynMITS9220M01
Lineage: Duplodnaviria; Heunggongvirae; Uroviricota; Caudoviricetes; Pantevenvirales; Kyanoviridae
Description: tRNA-Val
Rfam family: tRNA
About the family: Transfer RNA (tRNA) molecules are approximately 80 nucleotides in length. Their secondary structure includes four short double-helical elements and three loops (D, anti-codon, and T loops).
Source: RNAcentral